GAUGAAGAACGUAGCGAAAUGCGAUAAGUAAUGUGAAUUGCAGAAUUCAGUGAACCAUCGAAUCUUUGAACGCACAUUGCGCCCGGCAGUAAUCUGCCGGGCAUGCCUGUCCGAGCGUCAUUUCUGCCCUCGAGCGAGUCCAGCAUCUAGGUGCUGGGCCCGCCCGGCGUUGGGGCACUACGGGAAGCCCUGUGCUGUCCCCCGUAGGCCCCGAAAUGAAGUGGCGGUCCUGCCGCGGCACCCCCUGCGUAGUAUAACAGCUCGCUUCGGGACCCGGUGGAGGCCUGCCGUCAAACCUUACUCUCUAAGUUUGACCUCGGAUCAGGUAGGGUUACCCGCUGAACUUAAGCAUAUCAAUAAGCGGAGGA
This 368-nucleotide unclassified non-coding RNA is filed under the name soil metagenome. RNAcentral describes it as "partial contains 5.8S ribosomal RNA, internal transcribed spacer 2, and large subunit ribosomal RNA". The stretch from base 1 to 120 matches the Rfam family "5.8S ribosomal RNA", at positions 35 to 154 of the family's 154-position model. The record is from RNAcentral.